UCUAUACCGCUUCGACUGGAAGAUCC
This 26-nucleotide non-coding RNA is filed under the name Homo sapiens (human). Lineage: Eukaryota; Metazoa; Chordata; Mammalia; Primates; Hominidae. The record is from RNAcentral.